ACUCUUUGUUCGAUAGAAUGAGAAAAAGUACACGUUGCAAAGUUAUACUGUUAUGGCGCAACUGAGUAGUCUAAUGUUGUUCCGGUUUUGAUUCUUGUGAACGUUGAAAAUUCGUUCCAAAUUUACACUCUCGGGGCAUAAUAGAACUAUAUAAUUAGGUUUUACUCUUUGUUCGAUAGAAUGAGAAAAAGUACUCGUUUCAAAGUUAUACUGUUAGGGCGCAACAGAGUAGUCUAAUGUUGUUCUGGUUUUCGUUCUUGUGAACGUUGACAUCGAUUCGUUCCAAAUUUACACUCUAGGGGCAUAAUAGAACUAUAUAAUUAGGUUUUACCCUUUGUUCAAUAGAAUGAGAAAAAGUACUCGUUGCAAAGUUAUACUGUUUGGGCGCAACUGAGUAGUCUAAUUUUGUUCCUGUUUUUGUUUUUGUGAACGUUGACAUCGAUUCGUUCCAAAUUUACACUCUCGGGGCAUAAUAGAACAAUAUAAUUAGGUUUUACUCUUUGUUCGAUAGAAUGAGAAAAAGUACUUGUUGCAAAGUUAUACUGUUAAGGCGCAACUGAGUAGUCUAAUGUUGUUCCGAUUUUGGUUCUUGUGAAUGUUGACAUUGAUUCGUUCAAAAUUUACACUCUCGAGGUAUAAUAAAAUAAUAUAAUUAGGUUUUACUCUUUAUUCGAUAGAAUGAGAAAAAGUACUCGUCGCAAAGUUAUACUGUUAGGGGGCAACUGAGUAGUCUACUGUUGUUCCGAUUUUGGUUCUUGUGAACGUUGACAUCGAUUCGUUCCAAAUUUACACUCUCGAGGUAUAAUAGACCAAUAUAAUUAGGUUUUCUCUUUGUUCGAUAGAAUGAGAAAAAGUACUCGUUGCAAAGUUAUAUUGUUAGGGCGCAACUGAGUAGUCUAAUAUUGUUCCGAUUUUGGGGACCGUCCUCUGGCAAGGACCGGUUCCGAACGUUGAAUAUCCCCUUUGCCAGUUUGUGCAGCUUUACGUGGACGGCUCAAAGGGGUCGCUCGCCCGACAAAGGUGACCACCGGUUGGUCCCUCACUGCGAAAAAUACCCAGGGAGGCUGUUUCAAGAAGUGAAAAGUGAGGGUUUUAUGUUGCAUCAAGUGGGUUAUGAGAAGAGGCUAGGCUUGUCCGCCUCUCAUCGCAUCACUUACACUUCAGUGGAUGCCCUUCUUCACGUCGUGAUGUCGUAGUCCUCCAUACUCACGACCUCUGAUGUCUACUCAUCUUCUGGCUCUCUGAAAGGUUAUAACAAAAAAGCAUCAUAUCGGAGGAAAAGAGGAGAAGUAGCAGAAGGCUAGUAGAAUGAUAGAAGGAGACGAGAUAGAGACUGAAAAAGAGCGAGAAAGAGAGGUAUUGACAACUAAGACAGGAAUGAGAAGCAUAUCACGCGAGUUACACUAUUCAUCAUCUCCUCUUGCCCAAAGCUUGGAGCUUGGUAAUGAUGUAAACCUCAACCUUUGAUGUGGUUUCAAUAGGCAGAGGUAGAAGUUUUAUAAUACGAAUAAGCGCGGUUCAAGACUGAACCUUAUUGAGCUGCAUAACUGCCAGGUCGAGAUAUGUUUCGACUCGAAAUCGAAGCUCGCAGCCGGCAGAGUAGUCGUAUCUCAUCAAUGGCCGCAUGAUGCGUGCAUUGUGCUUUUCGAUAGUCUUUCGAGAAUAGGUUGGCCAGAGCAUACUUGAACUGGGCUAUUUAAUUCAAAUUAAUUUCGGCACACCUAAAUUCUAAGGUCCCGAAGUCGUAGGCACAGACGGUGUGUCGCAUUACCGUCGAGUAGCAGUCGAAGUUAUCGCCAAGAGAGACCUUCGGAGCUUCGUGUCCAUGCCUAGAAGGCUAACGGCGUCGAGACGGUUCUAAGGCACGACACAUCGCAAUCGAAGAGCUUCCACAGAAGUCCACCCACCGAGGGGUGGAGCAUCACAGUAAAACCCACCAAAAGUCCUCACCAGGGCGAGAGUGGCGCUACACGAGCUAACCAGAAGGGUGCGGGCGAUCAACAUGGUCGGACUUCACUUUCAUGCUUUAGAUGUCUGAUGUCAUCAUCGAAAGACUUAACUAGUACGAGUUUAUUACAUAUUGUGAUAUAGUCAAUUACUUGACGGAAUUGUCUUAACCAUGGAUUAUCGCUGCAUAUCCUUGCAUGCUAAGGAUGGUAUAGCUCUGCGUUUGUUCAUCAUCGUCAAGACUGAUUUAGUAAAACAUGCAGAGGUGAGCGAUCGUUUGAGAACAGACACCCAAUGAAAAGUCGCCCUAGUCAACUAACGAUAAGAAUUAUUGUUUCAGUAGAUGAUAUAUGAACCUAGUGAUACCUUGGAACACAGUUGUAUUCAAGAACUCUGUCAAGAGAACGAGUGGCCAUCUAGUUAACCUAAACAUGAACGAGUGCAUUAAGUAGCCGGUAGGCAGCGCAAAACCUAAGAAAACUGCCUGCAGCUUGUCGAGAGACUACAUCAGUAUCAGAUAGUGAUGGAUCAGCGCCACCAAUCAAGUUGCUACUACACCGAGGCUAACCUCUCGGUGCCACGAAAUUCCGCCGAGUAUAGAUAUGCCCCCUGUUGAUCAGGGCGAUAUUACGAGAUUAUCAUGACAGAGAUUGAAUCGAGCUCACUUAGCUGCUGUCUUACACCUGUAGGACAGUAAGAAUCCUCGCACCUUCCUUACGAUGCUUUAAGUCGUUACACAACUCCCGGAGUGCUUCUUCGGCGAAGAUAUCUCGCAAGAUACUGGCGGGCCAGUGUAUGCCCUGGAGCCAGUGUAGUGUCCGCUCUCGGAAGAUAGGAUCCGGUCUCCGGGUAAGUGAUAUAGCUAGCCCACUCAUCCCCUAUGCAAGCAUCUUAGACGACGUAGAGGUACACGUAUCAGAUGUCACAAUGAAAACCCGACGGCGAGCGAAACUUGCGUUCGCCGAGAGAUACGAAACUAGAUAUUCCACAGAAUAUAGCCCGAAGAUCCUGUUCAAUCAUGUCCAUGAUGCUGACUCACACUUAGCAUUGUGUUUGAUGGAAGCAUGUAGUCCCGAAAGGCAUCACCGAGACAGCCUAGCAUUCUUACUAUGAGUUGUGCGAAGACAUUCGUAGUGGCAUCCUGAAUUAUGAGGCAUUGUAGUACCUGUGGCGAAUCUAGUUUCUAUGGACCAUCAAUUCACUCUCAGCCCGGAUCUUAAGCUGAAUGGUACCGCUUUCAGUUAAUAUAAUCUAUCUAUCUGCAUAUCUAUCUGUAGCGCGGGGCUAAGACGCUAGUGGGAGGAUCCGAUGCAAUGAGAUCUUCGGAGCAGAUACACGCCAGAACCCACUGGGAAACUAUUCGUAGUUCUCACUCGCACAGAGUACUAUCGCUGCACUGAGGCUGGCUUCCAAAGAAAGGAGACCGUGUUCAAUCUGGGCAGGGGAUACCCCUGUUUCUUACACUGUGACUUUGUUGAGGCGGCUCGAAUCGCCGGAAGGCGUAAGCGCCCUACGGGUUGACAGUGGUAAUCCAGACGAAGAGGGUUUUUCACUUAUUUAAAUAUCAAAUUUUUUCUUGACUUAGCGCCUUAUUUAGAAGACAGGGCAGCACCUCUAGUCGUCUAGGGAGAUCACACCUGGCUCUAUGACCUCCUUUAUCACCCUACCUCAGCUGGCGCCUUCCCUUUACUUCAGCUCCCAGGCAAAGCAAUAUAAGAUUAGUCAUAGCCAUCGAGGAUCGAUGGUGGUUGCCAGACACAGUGAUCUCAUACUGCGGUCAGCACGAGGUCAUCCUGUUAUCUGGUAGUCUAGAGAGUUGUAGGUACGAAUUCACAGACUACAUGGUCAUAUCCAAUGAGUGGUCGCAUUCUUAAUCUUAUGUCUAAUAUACACGGCCGGGCAUUCAACAUUAUUGCCCUAGUAAAGAGAUAUCGCAGCGAAAUAGAGGCUCUAACAUGCUCGGUUAAUAAAUAUAUUAUAAGAAGUUAGCUCGGCAAAAUAGGAUCACCCAUCCUCCGCUCGCAUCGAUAGUAAUGUUGCCUAGUGAAAAACAGUCCAUUAGGUUCGAAUUUUAUUACUACUCAGAUCAGGCUAGAAAAACCCGAUCAUCGUUGUACCAAGAAGUAAAGCGGCGGUGAGUACCAUACGAGCAUAAGUGUAUGCUCAGCUGACAGGCGAGUAAGCAUCAUCCUGCUAGAGGUCGUCUCGAUCUCGAAGUGUACACAUCGAGUGUUUUGCGAGGAAAGACCAAGCUCACAUGCAAAUGAAUGCGAAAUAAAGAGUGGCGAUGCUCUUCACGUACUCGAAAAUGAGCAAUUCUAGCAUCAGAUGAAAUGUUGAAGGUAUGGACAAUACCUCGCAAGACAGUCGCCCACACCAGUGCCCUGCGUGCUGAGUCAGGGCGAAGACCUCUCUGCGCAUCUCCAGAUGCGCUGCCGUGCCCCUCAGUUUGCGCCUCCGUCCCGCGUAAUUGUGGUUGUUAAUUGUUAUGUACCCAGUUCAACGUUGUUCCUUGGAACCUUGUUGCUCACUAAUCUAUGGUUGAGCCUUGGCGACAGAGGAGGCUGUCCGUUCGGCGUCGGUCCGCCCUUCGAGUAGGGGGACCCCGGAGCCACGAAGCAGCUGCAGCUGGGGCUCCGCGGCUUCUGCGGGCGUGCAGGCAUGGGAGGAGACAGGGACUCCCCCUGAGACAUCCGCCACCUCCUAGGACACUGGCUUGCAGGGGAGCCACCUCGCACUGGCCACGAACGGAAACAGUGUCCUCCUCUGCGACCAUUCGCCAUCAACCGCUGAGCUUUGCCGGCAGAUGCACACAACGGUGGAUCGCCCCUCUGCUGAUUGCUCGAGGGCGCACUCUUUGCUCCCUGCUAGAGUGCGCGGAUGCUUUGGCGACCGGUUACUAUUGGAAAGGAGCCGCCGCACGUCUUAGAAUGGGAACGCUUUCUGUUCCCCAUCGCCUCCGAGGCCCUUUGCAGCUCGGACUCUCGUAGACUCGCUCUGGAUGACGAGGCUAUCGUCGCAAGCACUCCGUCAAAACACGUCAUCGUGCCAUGAGAAGCCCAGCAGCAUCCUGAUGUGGGUCUCGAAGCCCUCGCGAAGACUCUCGCCUUGUGCGCUCGUCAAAGUAGGCUCGAAUAGAGAGCAAGGGAUCAGCCUCCACCAUGGCGGAAGACGAAGUCCUGCUCGUAGCUUCAGCUACGGUACGUUCCCACUGCUGAAGAUGUUCUAAAGCUCCGCGCUCCGGCCCAGCCUCCAAAUUUUUGAGUUGUCCCGAAAGAAUUGCUUGGAUUGGAGAUCUCCGGAACUCCCCCCAGGGUUGGGAAAGGACGGCCCAGCUGUGAGCGAGGUAGAUGUCGGCAGCCACCAAAUAGAGCUGCGUCCGCCGGUCCGAGAAAGUGUGCGGCCAAGGACGCGGUACCUGGCUCAUCCGAUGAGUAUAAGUCGCUCUAAAGCUAGGUACUCUCACAAUGUCGGUCAGGUUCGAUGAGCAGGUCGCGUCGAUAGAAACUCCUAGUUCUCUUCCUUCUUACGCUCCACGCGUAUUCUUGCGGGUCGAAUUCCCAUGAACUCAUCCAGCUUCGCACAUGCAUAGCGGGCGCCUCUGCUGCGGGGUAAUUUGCAUCCUCAGCUGGAACCUCUGGUGGUCGUCCGUCGUCGUCGAGCUCAGCAAGCAGAUAAAGAUGGAACGGAGCCGAGGGCCGAGCUACCUAGUGCAGGCGCACCUGAGGAGGUGGUGGACUUCCUACGGAGACUCUAAGAGCAGGCAUGACCCAUUCCAGAACCGGCGGCGUCGGGGAAGGUAGUCGCUUAUAUGGGAACACAGCUCUAGGCGGUGUGCGGCUCGUAAGGACUAGCUGGCAUGAGUGCUGCGUCGGAAACCGCCGCCAUGUGGAAAGGAGUCGUCAUCCUGAAUCCCGUCCCGUCAUCACUGGAGGCUUUAGACCUCGAGUGGUGAGGCUCGAGCUGCUUCGAUAGCAGUGAGUAUCCGCCCUGCUGGAUGUGGAAUGUUUUUUUUUACUUUUCUGGUCGAUCUGCUCACCCUACUCCUGCCCUGCCCCACCUGCCUCUGCCGUUGCUCGGAGGCCUGCUCUUUUCCUAGGAGGCUAAUUGACUAAGAGCCCUCAUGGGCGACGGCGUCCAGAAAGUUUGAUGGAACUAGCUCCCACGAACUCACGGAAGAAGGUGGGUCCGCUACUCCACGAGCCAAUCUGUAACACAAAGCACGCGUCAGCACGAAUAAUCGAGACUCGACCAACUCCGCCUACGGACUUGAGGCCCACAGAAACUUGCACUCACGUGCGCUAUGAGUAUUUCGCCCGUAGUCCUGCCUAUGGGUCAACCUAACCAAUGGUUCAUUUCAUUGAUUUUUCGAAAACCAACCUGUGAAUGGUAGUCUCCCCCUGUAUUUUGAGCACGGUCGUCGUAGCACAAGUACAGAGGAGAUCUGUCCCGUCGUGAAGUGGAUUCCCUGUAAUUGUGCGAUCUGACAUACUCUGGGGUCAGGUAUUUGAGAAAAACAAAAACAAAUUAUUAGUCAUUUCGCGUCAUUUCCAAACGCGCAACAAGGACCUCAGGGGUGACAGAUUAAAGUGGUAUCAGAGCCGGUUCAUCAGCUGGACAUGUGUGGCGAGUCUCGCUAUGAGCCACGGGUCGGAUGACGGGCUAACGAGCGACGUCUUACAUCGCGCUGGUGAUCUUGGGCUGUGUGUGUUGUGGACUCGACAGACGUCAGGACUGCAGCUUAAACGGGGAGUCCUGGUGACACCGCCAUAUCAACAUCGAUGAAAUGGAAGGUGUUGUUUAUUCAGGAGUUGAUAAGCACGACUUAGACACUAGCUAAAUAAUAACUGGCUUAGAGCAUUUGGGGUCUGUGUUGGUAUCAUGGGCCAACGAGUUACUCUUAAUUAAGCUUAGUGAAGCUUGGGCCUGGUCGUUACAUUGGUAAUCAGUCAAGUCGAAUUCUUUCAGCUCAUCGAAGCUACUGCUAGACACCGUCGAUUUGUUCAUGAAGUUAUUGUCGUUUCGAACUGCGAAUGAUGACCUGUCGUUCGGAUUCAGUAAUACCGAUUUUGCUGGGAGUCCACCGGGUUAUACCCAAAGCUCUCCGAGCUUUGCCUCAAUGUAAAGCUUGUGAAGCGGUGUGCGAUUUUGGAGAAGGCUGCAACGAAUCGCAAGAUAAUACCUGCACUGCGCCAAACCCUAGAAAAACUCCGGACUUGGUCACCGAAAGUUUUGGUUCAAGACCAGCUACACCACGCGAGGCUAUCUUCUUCGGGUCCGACCGAAUCCACGCCGGAGUAGAAUAUGCCGUCUCUCAAGAAUGACCACGUAGCGACGUCACGGAGCAGAAAUCCACUUCUUGAGCUUAGCGUUACAACUGUGCCGCCGCUGAAGUAUCUGGCAAUUAGCUCUGUCGCGAGAUGAUCCUCAGGUGCUCCCUACAAUACUCCGCGAGUAGAUCAGGAGUCAUCAUGAAACCGACGACAGACACUGAUCCAGAUAAGCUCGGAAGCCCUGUCAUUCAUGUCGCAUAGAAGGCUGCGCGGAGGAUUGGUGAGCCCGAAAGGCACACCGUGAACUCGUAGUGGCCGUAACGAGUCCGGAAAGGCGGUCUUUCGGCACAUCCUCAGCCCGGAUCUUUAAGCUGAUGUAGCCUCCCGACCGCAAGAUCAUCCUUGGAGUUAGCACCGACGAUCCUUUGACAAGGCUGGUCAUGGUACGAAGCCUGAACUUUCCAGUACGCGCUUUCUCAUCUUUAGAGUGACGGUCAGGUCCAGAGCGACGUGCAUCCAGACUUCUUGUACGACAUGCUCUGGCGCAGAUCGCGUCUGGAUUACGGUGGAUCGGAUGGUCUCGGUAUUACCGUUGGUGGAGUUUCGCGACUAUAAUAAACAGCUUUCAGGGUCGACAUCGGGAUGGCACCAUACCGAGGCGUCUGUUAUGGGCGUUCGAUGUCGUUCUCAGCUAUCUGCUUGGCACGCAUGUCGAAGACCGCCGGUUAGUUAGGACUACUAGAUUUAGUAGGAGACGCCACAUGAGGCAAGAUCCGCAUUGGGCGAGAGAGCGGCUUCAGACCUGCAACAGAUAGAAUCCAAGGGGCGACUAGCGCGGCCCAGGCGGAGGCCGGAACCUAGAGUUUCAGUCGUGAGUCAUGUGCUGCUCAAGUGUCGCCUUCCAGGAUCAAUACGGUUUGUUUGCGGAACAAGCUUAUCGCGCUGGUUUCGGUGGGACCCGUUCUGAGAUCCUACGAGCUGCGUUGGUCCGGUGGGCUUACCAGAUUGCUCUCAUACCGCAGUCUCGCCCGAGUGCAGCAACGUUUUUUCACGUGUCCCAUGCUUCGGAUACCACAUCCCGAUCCGUCCCCACAUCAUUCAGUCGACACGCAUUCAGCUAUGCGGGAGGAUCUCGAGCUAUGCAGUGAGGCUCCCGUUGCACGAUCCUGGUCACGUGAGGUGAACGCAGUUGCCGGAAUAGGAGCAUAUCCGUAUUCAAGGUCCAGUGGAGGAGAAGCGCGACGAGAGGGCUGCGCCUGAGGCUACUGGGAGCUUGAAUGCGUCAUGGCGGUCGAUCAUUAUCCACAGUUAUUUUGCGAGGGACGUCCUUGUNNNNNNNNNNNNNNNNNNNNNNNNNACUAAUUAUAUAGUUCUAUUAUGCCGCCGGCGCAAUUGUUAUAUAUUUGGAACGAUCUUAAAUUUACAAGAACCAAAUCGGAACAACAAUUAGACUACUAAGUUGCGCACCUAACAUAUUAACUUUUGCAACGAGCACUUAUUUCUCAUUCUACAAACAAAGAGUAAAACCAUUAUAUUGCUUAUUAUGCCUCGAGACAGUGUAAAUUUGGAACGAAUCAGAAACUUGUCAACGUUCACAAGACAACAAACAUGGACGAAAAUUAGCACUACUCAGUUUGCGCGCAACAGUAUAACUUUUGAACGAGUAUUUUUCUUCAUUGAUCAAUAGAACAAAGAGUUAAAACCUAAGUAUAUUAUUUUUUAUACCUCCAUUCGUGCUAAAUCGUAGAACGAGGUCAAUGUCAACGUUCACAAGACCAAAAUCGGAACACAUAGACUACUCAGUUGGCACCAACAGAUAUGAACUUAUGCACACGAAUACUUUUUUCUAAUUCUAUCAACAAAGAAGUAAACCCCAUAUUAUAUUGUAUCUUAUGCCCCAGAGUGUAAAUUUGGAACGUAACCAGAUGGCAAGGUUCACGUAAGAACAAAAAACAGGAACAAAAUUAGAUACUAGUUGCGGCCAAAAAGUCUAACUUUGCAACGAGUAUUUUUUCUCAUUUCUAUUAUCAGAAAGAGGUAAAACCUAAUUAUAUAGUUCUAAUUUGCCUGGAGUGUAAACUUGGAACGAAUCAGAUUCGUCAACGUGAUUAAGAAGAAAAACCAGAAAACACAUUACACUACUCUGGUUUGCAGCACUAACAGUAUAACUGCGACGUAGUACUUUUGUCUCUUUCUAUCGAACAAAAAGUGAAACCUAAUUAUCAUUCUAUUAUGCCCGGGCGAGUGUAAAUUGUGGAAGAUCUUCAACGUUCACAAAAGAACCAAAUCGGAACAACAUGAGCACUACUCAUUGCGACCUAACGUUAUAACUUUGCAACGAGUACUUUUCUGAUUUCUAUCAACAAAGAGAUAAAACCUUUAAUUAUAUCGAUAUCUAUAGUCUCGAGAGUGUAAAUUGGACGAUAUCAGAGUCAAGUUCAGAAAGAAUCAAAGAUUCGGCGAAGAACAUUAGAUACUCAGUUUUGGCCCUAACAGUUAUACUUAAUGCAACGAUCUUUUUCUACGUUCUAUCAAACAAAGAGUAAAAUACUAAUUAUAUUAUUUAUUAUACGCUCGAGAGUGUGAAUUUGGACGAAGGUCAUAUCAACGUUCACAAGAACCAGCCGGGAGACCGGUCCUUGUCCGAGAGACCGGUUCCCGAGAGCAAUACUUUCGGGACUUAGCCAAAUUUCGGCUUCUCUCGCUGGGCCAACGUUCGGGAACCGGUCCCUGCCUGCUAGGGACAGGUCUCAUCAGAGACCCCCGCAGCCCAGCCUGAUGGGACCGGUCCCUCCCUGCCAGGGACCGGUCCCCGAGAGCAUUUCUUCUCCAGUGCAGCUUUUGCACGGGUGCUCUCGCGGACACCUCCUCAAUGCACCUUAUGCAUUGUGAUCACCUUCGGACUUUCCGAAGCUUGCACGCACGACAACCAGUCGAUCUUUGACGAAGUCUAAUCCUCGAGUUUCGAGAAUUCACUUCCCUUACACUCUCCCCACUUAAAAGAGUUUCGUCCUCGAAACGAACUCAACAAUAUUAAAUUCAUCCAGAAUACUCAUACCUCGGUGGCUCACUCAAACAAGUGAGGAUGAUUCGCUCUCAUCUCCUCCUCGAGCUCCCAGGUGGCUUCGCGGUCAGCAUGAUUGCUCCACUCUCAGGGCAUAAUAGAAUAAUAUAAUUAGGUUUUACUCUUUGUUCGAUAGAAUGAGAAAAAGUACUCGUUGCAAAGUUAUACUGUUUGGGCGCAACAGAGUAGUCUAUUGUUGUUCCGGUUUUCGUUAUUGUGAACGUCGACAUCGAUUCGUUCCAAAUUUACACUCUCGGAGUAUAAUAGAACUAUAUAAUUUGGUUUUACUCUUUAUUCAAUAGAAUGAGAAAAAGUACUCGUUGCAAAGUUAUACUGUUUGGGCGCAACUCAGUGGUCUAAUUUUGUUCCGGUUUUUGUUCUUGUGAACGUUGACAUCGAUUCGUUCCAAAUUUAUACUCUCGGGGCAUAAUAGCACAAUAUAAUUAGGUUUUACUCUUUGUUCGAUAGAAUGAGAAAAAGUACUCGUUGCAAAGUUAUACUGUUAGGGUGCUACUGAAUAGUUGAAUGUUGUUCCAAUUUUGAUUCAUGUGAACGUUGACAUCGAUUCGUUCCAAAUUUACACUCUCGGGGCAUAAUAAAAUAAUAUAAUUAGGGUUUACUCUUUGCCCGAUAGAAUGAGAAAAAGUACUCGUUGCAAAGUUAUACUGUUAGUGUGCAACUGAGUAGUCUAAUAUUGUUCCGGUUUUUGUUCUUCAGAUCGUUGACAACGAUUCGUUCCAAAUUUACACUCUCAGGGCAUAAUAGAACAAUAUAAUUAGGUUUUACUCUUUGUUCGAUAGAAUGAGAAAAAGUACUCGUUGCAAAGUUAAACUGUUUUGGGCGCAACUGAGUAGUCUAAUUGUUCCGUUUUUGUUCUUGUGAACUUGACAUCGAUUCGUUCCAAAUUUACACUCUCGGGGCAUAAUAGAGAAUAUAAUUAUGUUUUACUCUUUGUUCGAUAGAAAUGAGAAAAAGUACUCGUUGCAAGUUAUACUGUUAGGCGCAACCUGAGUUGUCUAAUGUUGUUCCGGUUCUUGGUUCUUGUGAUACGUUGAAAUCGAUUCGUCAAAUUUAUUACACUCUUCGGGGGGCAUAAUAGAAGCUAUAUAAAUUAUGGUUUUAAGCUCUUAAUUCGAUUUUUAGAAAAGAGAAAAAAGUACUACGUUGCAAAGUUAUAGCCUGUUAGCACGCCAACAGAGUAGUCUUAAUUUGUUCCGGUUCACAAAGAACGAAAACCGGAAACGAACAUUAGACUAUCGGUUUUCGUUCUGUGAACGUUGACAUCGAUCGUUCCAAAAUUUACACGCCUUUGGGGCCAUUAAAUAGAACAUGAUAAUAUGUUUUAUCCUUUGUUUCGAUGCGUAGAAUGAGAAAACGUACUCUGUUUCACAAAGUUAUAGCUGUUUGGGGCCGCCCCCCCAACUGAGUAGUACUAAUUUUGGUUACCCGGAUUUUGUUCUUAUAGUGAACUGUUGACAUAACGAUUCGUUUCCGUCCUUAUAACUAUUGAAUUUAAGAGGAUUUAGACUCCCUUUUCGCUCAUGAGGGACCAANNNNNNNNNNNNNNNNNNNNNNNNNNNNNNNNNNNNNNNNNNNNNNNNNNNNNNNNNNNNNNNNNNNNNNNNNNNNNNNNNNNNNNNNNNNNNNNNNNNNNNNNNNNNNNNNNNNNNNNNNNNNNNNNNNNNNNNNNNNNNNNNNNNNNNNNNNNNNNNNNNNNNNNNNNNNNNNNNNNNNNNNNNNNNNNNNNNNNNNNNNNNNNNNNNNNNNNNNNNNNNNNNNNNNNNNNNNNNNNNNNNNNNNNNNNNNNNNNNNNNNNNNNNNNNNNNNNNNNNNNNNAAAUUUACACUCUCGGGGCAUAAUAAAAUAAUAUAAUUAGGUUUUACUCUUUGUUCGGUAGAAUGAGAAAACGUACUCGUUGCAAAGUUAUACUGUUAGGGCGCAACUGAUUAGUCUAAUGUUGUUCCGUUUUUCGUUCUUAUGAACGUUGACAUCGAUUCGUUCCAAAUUUACACACUCGGGGCAUAAUAGAGCAAUAUAAUUAGGUUUUACUCUUCGUUCGAUAGAUUCAGAAAAAGUACUCGUUGCAAAGUUAUACUGUUAGGGCGCAACUGAGUAGUCUAAUGUUGUUCCGGUUUUUGUUCUUCUGAACGUUGACAUCGAUUUGUUCCAAAUUUACACUCUCGAGGCAUAAUAGAACAAUAUAAUUAGGUUUUACUCUUUGUUCGAUAGAAUAAGAAAAAGUACUCGUUGCAACCUUAUACUGUUUGGGCGCAACUGAGUAGUCUAAUUGUCACGCCCCGCGACCAACCGCCGAUUUGGACCGGGUCGCGGCGCCGCCGACAGACCGCCGAACGGACCGGGAAUUCCCCUGUAUGCGGACAGGGUCUCCCCAGUACGUCCAAGGCGUCGCAAUCCAAACAAUCAACGAAUAUUCCAACAAGA
This 12726-nucleotide long non-coding RNA is filed under the name Ananas comosus (pineapple). Its description in RNAcentral is "long non-coding RNA (ACOM_LNC016790)". The record is from RNAcentral. Lineage: Eukaryota; Viridiplantae; Streptophyta; Magnoliopsida; Poales; Bromeliaceae.